This 996-nucleotide ribosomal RNA is filed under the name uncultured bacterium. Its description in RNAcentral is "bacterial SSU rRNA". It matches the Rfam family "Bacterial small subunit ribosomal RNA", at positions 355 to 1375 of the family's 1533-position model. RNAcentral also lists the same sequence under 1 other name. The record is from RNAcentral.
UGGGGGAUAUUGCACAAUGGGGGAAACCCUGAUGCAGCGACGCCGCGUGGAGGAAGAAGGUUUUCGGAUUGUAAACUCCUGUCGUUAGGGACGAUAAUGACGGUACCUAACAAGAAAGCACCGGCUAACUACGUGCCAGCAGCCGCGGUAAAACGUAGGGUGCAAGCGUUGUCCGGAAUUACUGGGUGUAAAGGGAGCGCAGGCGGACCGGCAAGUUGGAAGUGAAAACUAUGGGCUCAACCCAUAAAUUGCUUUCAAAACUGCUGGCCUUGAGUAGUGCAGAGGUAGGUGGAAUUCCCGGUGUAGCGGUGGAAUGCGUAGAUAUCGGGAGGAACACCAGUGGCGAAGGCGACCUACUGGGCACCAACUGACGCUGAGGCUCGAAAGCAUGGGUAGCAAACAGGAUUAGAUACCCUGGUAGUCCAUGCCGUAAACGAUGAUUACUAGGUGUUGGAGGAUUGACCCCUUCAGUGCCGCAGUUAACACAAUAAGUAAUCCACCUGGGGAGUACGACCGCAAGGUUGAAACUCAAAGGAAUUGACGGGGGCCCGCACAAGCAGUGGAGUAUGUGGUUUAAUUCGAAGCAACGCGAAGAACCUUACCAGGUCUUGACAUCCGAUGCAUAGCUUAGAGAUAAGUGAAGUCCUUCGGGACAUCGAGACAGGUGGUGCAUGGUUGUCGUCAGCUCGUGUCGUGAGAUGUUGGGUUAAGUCCCGCAACGAGCGCAACCCUUAUUGCCAGUUACUACGAAAGAGGACUCUGGCGAGACUGCCGUUGACAAAACGGAGGAAGGUGGGGAUGACGUCAAAUCAUCAUGCCCUUUAUGACCUGGGCUACACACGUACUACAAUGGCGUUUAACAAAGAGAAGCAAGACCGCGAGGUGGAGCAAAACUCAAAAACAACGUCUCAGUUCAGAUUGCAGGCUGCAACUCGCCUGCAUGAAGUCGGAAUUGCUAGUAAUCGCGGAUCAGCAUGCCGCGGUGAAUACGUUCCC